GUCUGCAGCACGCGCCUAA
This 19-nucleotide small nuclear RNA is filed under the name Arabidopsis thaliana (thale cress). RNAcentral describes it as "snRNA_15217". Lineage: Eukaryota; Viridiplantae; Streptophyta; Magnoliopsida; Brassicales; Brassicaceae. The record is from RNAcentral.